RNAcentral lists this ribosomal RNA (466 nucleotides) under uncultured bacterium. Its description in RNAcentral is "partial 16S ribosomal RNA". It matches the Rfam family "Bacterial small subunit ribosomal RNA", at positions 28 to 507 of the family's 1533-position model. The record is from RNAcentral.
GACGAACGCUGGCGGCGUGCUUAACACAUGCAAGUCGAACGGAAAGGCCCUGCUUUUGUGGGGUGCUCGAGUGGCGAACGGGUGAGUAACACGUGAGUAACCUGCCCUUGACUUUGGGAUAACUUCAGGAAACUGGGGCUAAUACCGGAUAGGAGCUCCUGCUGCAUGGUGGGGGUUGGAAAGUUUCGGCGGUUGGGGAUGGACUCGCGGCUUAUCAGCUUGUUGGGGGGGUAGUGGCUUACCAAGGCUUUGACGGGUAGCCGGCCUGAGGGGGUGACCGGCCACAUUGGGACUGAGAUGCGGCCCAGACUCCUACGGGAGGCAGCAGUGGGGAAUAUUGCACAAUGGGGAAGCCUGAUGCAGCAACGCCGCGUGCGGGAUGACGGCCUUCGGGUUGUAAACCGCUUUCGCCUGUGACGAAGCGUGAGUGACGGUAAUGGGUAAAGAAGCACCGGCUAACUACGUG